AGAGCUUUGAGCUCAGACGUAAGGGCCGUGCUGAGCACAGCGAACGGCAGAGAGAAUCAGAACAGUGCAAGGAGGGCCUUCUGGCUUCCCCAAACUCCACGGAAGUCUCGAUUCGCAUCCUGGGGCUGCUCCUACUUCCCUUUUCUCAGGGUCUGCGCUCCCUCCCUGGAACAGCUGGGCCCAGGUCUCCCUCCAGGGAGCGUUCGGAUGGAGCACGGCCACCCACCAUCAUGACUAAAGAUCAAAAAGAGCAAAACAGAACAAGACCUCAGGUCUCCGGGCCAUUUCCCCCUUCAGAGGCGGAGAGCAGCACAUCAAAACCAGAAGAUGAGCCAGAAGGGAUCGGCUACCCUCAGGGGUUCCUGAUGACAAACUCUGGUUUCUGGGGAUCUCACCUGUGCCUGGGGGGCCCCGGGCACUGUGCUGAGCAAGAUGCAAAGAGCCCCAAGUCCCACCCACCCAGAGAGUGCAGCUGGGAGGUGGGUGUGCAGAGUGGAAGCCGCGAGCCACCGGAGACAGAAGAGUGCGAAUCGAGAUGGGCUUGCAUGUGAAACACUCAGCAGAGGUCACAGAUUUGGGACCGGAAACAAGCGGAAUGUCUCUCACCGGCGACUCUUCAAUUCUGGAUUUUCAUGCGAAAGUGAUAGCAUCUGGCUUUUAUUUGGGUUAAAUAAAAUAUUUG
Molecule: long non-coding RNA, 682 nt
Organism: Bos taurus (domestic cattle)
Lineage: Eukaryota; Metazoa; Chordata; Mammalia; Artiodactyla; Bovidae
Source: Ensembl